UUACCCCAACUUAAGUAAGAUUACCCG
Molecule: ribosomal RNA, 27 nt
Filed under: Balanophora laxiflora
Lineage: Eukaryota; Viridiplantae; Streptophyta; Magnoliopsida; Santalales; Balanophoraceae
Description: partial 28S ribosomal RNA
Source: RNAcentral